CGGCACACUGCACCGCACAAUCGCAUGCUCCAGAGCUGACAAGAUGAUUGCCAGUGUUCGGCACUUUCUAUUUUUAUCCUCGUGGCGCUGUUUCCUCUCUUACAAUCAUUUUAUGAUUGCGGGCGGGAAUAAAACAUGCUCUGAAACUCGCGUUUGUCCCUCUCUCUGACACCUUUAACCUGGACAACUUAUUAAAAUAGGCGUUGGUGUCGUGAGCAAGCCGUCCUUGAGAGCGUCAAGCUUAUGAGAAGUGCGAGAGAGGAGGAGGAUGAGGAGAGAGAAUCAGAAGAUUAUGGAUUGAUACAAAUAGUCGCCCGCGCCAACCGAAGCCAGAGUUGAAUUAAUGUGUUACUAUUUUUGGAACUCCUGUGUUUCCAGGGGAAACCUAAUGACGCAAUGACGUCAAUGCAGGUCAACGCCAGACUGGAGGAAUUGAGCGCUUCCAUUAGAUUUUGCAGUAUUUUCCAGAAUAGCGGAUAGGAUAAAAUGGAUUAGUUUGAAUGUCUGAAUAAUCAAAAUAUAGUGCUUAUUUAAAAUGAUAACGACACCGCAGAAAAAACACCGAGACGCGGGAUGUUUUCUUUUAAGUUCAUGAAGAGAAUCUGGGGGGAAAAACAGCUCUCCAUCCAGAGGUUUGCCAAACGGGAACACCAGAUCCAGAUAACAGUACAGGUCAUUAGGGAUCUCAACACUGCUUACCACACUAACAGGAACACCUUUAGUUCCAGCACAUGCACCCCCCACUUUGAAGCUUGUUACAGUAAAAGCCUAACAUCAAAUACAUGUAAUACACUCAUUAUGAACAGUAGUCCAUGUGUAUACACUGUGCUCUAUGUCAUAUUGAAAACGAAAUCUUUAUUCAUACGUAUUUUUCUUUUUCUUUGUUUUUACAGAGAUUGAACAGACGCCCAAGGUACAGGGUGGAGAUCAUGGUCCUUUUUGGGUCUUUUUGCGGUCUGGGCUUGCUGUUCCUUGAAGCAGUAGCCAGGAAGCCCUUACCCCAAAAAGUAUCUGCAAGGGACAUUCACAUCUGAUAGGCCAGGCUGGACAUUCACAUCUGAUAGGCCAGGCUGGACAUUAACAUCUGAUAGGCCAGGCUGGACAUUAACAUCUGAUAGGCCAGGCUGGACAUUUGAUCCAGAAUGUUCUCUGUCUCUCUUUCUUUAUAGCUCUUCCUCUGUGACAUGCACACACACACACACAUACACAGACACAUGCACAGUAGCCUGAAAUAAAAAGCUUGCAAUGUGACUACUAAACUGAUGUCUUUUCAUAGUUGACCUUGGGGUAAUCGAAGGGCUUCCUACUGAGUGACUGCUGUUCUUUUAGAAUCCUUUAAGUGAGAAAUCUGUCAUGGAGACUCUUAACAGAAAUGAUACAAGUCUAGUUCCUACUUAAGUGUAUGAGCAGUAAGAUUACCACAGUCUAGAGAUGAAAGCAUUCACCCCUCUCAAUCCCUGUCCAAUUGGACCUGGAACUGACCGAAUCAGAUGUGUACUUUGAUCGUACAAACAUGUGACGCCCCUCUGUCUUAAGUGUUUUCUGUUUUUUACUGAACGCAGAUAUGAACAAAGAAGUGAAGUCCAUUCAACCAAACAAUGCACGUUAGUAAUCUACACCAAAGUAUCAAUAUACUGUAGUUUUAUAUCAUAAUAUUGCAGGUUGUGCCUCGUUGAAAUAGCUUUUCUGUUCCAAAAGCAGUGUACUCCAUUUAGAUGAACAAAAAUAAAGUUCCUUAAAGCUUCUGCGAGAGACAUUGGCAGUUCUAGUUUCCGUCUACCCAGCAUAGCCACUCAGUUCAGUCAGGGACUAGGCACUAGGACAUGUGUGUUUCCUGAAGGCCUCUAUAACCAUGUUUGAUUCAAUGACAUGCCUCUACCUUAAACUAAUCGGAGGCUUAAAGCUCCUCAGCCUGAAGCACCAGUCAAAAGCUGCUCUCGUCCACUUCUAUUACAAGUUCUGACAUUAGGGACACAACACUUCCCACUGAGACGUUUUAGAAACAUGUAAACAGGGUAGAUCUAAGAGCUAUUUGGCUGUCAUAAAAUUAAAAUGACAUGGGCAAAUUCAACUAAUUCGACUAAUCUAUUUUUCUGUUAUGUAGGAUUUUUUAUUCACCAGCAUGAAUUCUCUGGCUAGGAAGCUUUAGCUAGGCUAUAAACCACUCAUCUGAUUUCAGAAUCAGAAUCAGAAAGGUUUUAUUGGCCAAGUAAGUUUGCACAAACAAGGAAUUUGACUUGGUGAAGUAAAGUGGCUCUCAAUGUGCUUACACAGUGAUCUGUAGCGUCUACCAGAGGGGAGGAGUUUGAAUAGUUUGUGUCCGGGGUGUGAGGGGUCUGCAGUGAUUUUUCCUGCCCGUUUCCUGACUCUGAAGGUGUACAGGUCUUGGAUGGUGGGCAGGUUGGCACCGAUGAUCUUUUCAAAUGUCACCUGUAGCAUCACAUUCCAUUCUUGUAAUCUUUGCCUUAGUCUGGAUUCAGCCCUACCCAACUCCAGGGCUGCACUGACGCUGUCAGCUGGGACCUGGCCUCGCUCCAGCCUCAGAGAUGGGACCAGAGACAUGCUGAGGCUUCCCCUAGCCUCCAGGGUUUCACCCAAUUUUAGAAAAGCACCUGACAUAAGAAAUGUGUCCACCAGUAUGUCAAAUAUAUAUACAGAGAUGAUCAUCUGGGCAGAACAAGUGGAG
Clupea harengus (Atlantic herring) is the source of this 2686-nucleotide long non-coding RNA. The record is from Ensembl. Lineage: Eukaryota; Metazoa; Chordata; Actinopteri; Clupeiformes; Clupeidae.